GUCUACGGCCAUGCCACCCUGAACGUGCCUGAUUUCGUUGGAUUUCGGAAGCUAAGCAGGGUCAGGCCCGGUUAGUACUUGGAUGGGAGACUACCUAGGAAUACUAAGUGCUGUAGGCG
RNAcentral lists this ribosomal RNA (119 nucleotides) under Pteropus vampyrus (large flying fox). The record is from RNAcentral. Lineage: Eukaryota; Metazoa; Chordata; Mammalia; Chiroptera; Pteropodidae.